Molecule: ribosomal RNA, 253 nt
Filed under: uncultured bacterium
Lineage: Bacteria
Description: partial 16S ribosomal RNA
Rfam family: Archaeal small subunit ribosomal RNA
Source: RNAcentral
UACCAGCACCCCGAGUGGUCGGGACGAUUAUUGGGCCUAAAGCAUCCGUAGCCGGUUCUACAAGUCUUCCGUUAAAUCCACCUGCUUAACAGAUGGGCUGCGGAGGAUACUAUGGAGCUAGGAGGCGGGAGAGGCAAGCGGUACUUAGUGGGCAGGGGUAAAAUCCGUUGAUCCAUUGAAGACCACCAGUGGCGAAGGCGGCUUGCCAGAACGCACUCGACGGUGAGGGAUGAAAGCUGGGGGAGCAAACCGG